ACCCCAUUCAUAGAAGUACAACCUUCUCCUUUUUA
This 35-nucleotide transfer RNA is filed under the name Apalacris nigrogeniculata. RNAcentral's name for it is "partial tRNA-Met". Lineage: Eukaryota; Metazoa; Arthropoda; Insecta; Orthoptera; Acrididae. The record is from RNAcentral.